UUUUAAACACCCUUAGUAAAGAGGUGUCAUAAAAAAAAAUUAACAAUCCUCAAAAUUCAUUCUAAUUUUAUAAAUUUCCUUUAUUCUAUAACCUUUCAUGAUAUAAAGUGGAACUUAUGACAUGACCAAAACAUCAACAAAAAGUGGAACUUACUAAAGAGGUAAAAUUUUGUUAGAUUUAAUGUGAUUAUUAGGCUAUGACUACAACAUAAAUUAGUGUUAUCAUUGAUCUAAACAAUACUAUCAAUUAUUCAAUAUCUAUUAUUUGAAAUUACAUCACUUUUGAUCUUUGGUGGGGUUUAAUAUAUUAUGAGUAGAUGGCAUAAGAGAAGUCAUAAGGUCUUAAAUUUACAUGUUAACGACAUUUACAAACAAGCUCGUGGCAUUUCAUAUCAAGAGGAGGGAGACAAAAAAGGUCUGGACAAUCAGAGUCAUUCAUACAUCCAGAAAAUGCUGUUAAAUAAAAAAAAUAAAAGUAAAGAGAUGUUACUAAAAGAGAUGAAAUAUUAUGUAUAAAAUAAAUAAGAAAAAAUUAAAAGGGCUAGUAAAAUUGUUUACCGCUGGAGUUGGUUACAGAAAGAAAUAUGAAAAAGAAGACAAUCAUAACAUAAACAAUCUUUAUAAUUU
This 627-nucleotide long non-coding RNA is filed under the name Medicago truncatula (barrel medic). RNAcentral's name for it is "lncRNA gene2352". The record is from RNAcentral. Lineage: Eukaryota; Viridiplantae; Streptophyta; Magnoliopsida; Fabales; Fabaceae.